This 763-nucleotide ribosomal RNA is filed under the name uncultured archaeon. RNAcentral describes it as "bacterial SSU rRNA". It matches the Rfam family "Archaeal small subunit ribosomal RNA", at positions 1 to 771 of the family's 1478-position model. The record is from RNAcentral.
UUCCGGUUGAUCCUGCCGGACCUGACUGCUAUCGGAUUGAUACUAAGCCAUGCGAGUCAUUGUAGCAAUACAAGGCAUACGGCUCAGUAACGCGUAGUCAACCUAACCUAUGGACGAGAAUAACCUCGGGAAACUGAGAAUAAUGCCCGAUAGAACACUAUACCUGGAAUGGUUUGUGUUCCAAAUGAUUUAUCGCCGUAGGAUGGGACUGCGGCCUAUCAGUUUGUUGGUGAGGUAAUGGCCCACCAAGACUAUUACAGGUACGGGCUCUGAGAGGAGUAGCCCGGAGAUGGGUACUGAGACACGGACCCAGGCCCUAUGGGGCGCAGCAGGCGAGAAAACUUUGCAAUGUGCGAAAGCACGACAAGGUUAAUCCGAGUGGUUUCUGCUAAAGGAACCUUUUGUUAGUCCUAGAAACACUAACGAAUAAGGGGUGGGCAAGUUCUGGUGUCAGCCGCCGCGGUAAAACCAGCACCUCAAGUGGUCAGGAUGAUUAUUGGGCCUAAAGCAUCCGUAGCCGGCUCUGUAAGUUUUCGGUUAAAUCUGUACGCUUAACGUACAGGCUGCCGGGAAUACUGCAUAGCUAGGGAGUGGGAGAGGUAGACGGUACUCGGUAGGAAGGGGUAAAAUCCUUUGAUCUAUUGAUGACCACCUGUGGCGAAGGCGGUCUACCAGAACACGUCCGACGGUGAGGGAUGAAAGCUGGGGGAGCAAACCGGAUUAGAUACCCGGGUAGUCCCAGCUGUAAACUAUGCAAACUCAG